Molecule: ribosomal RNA, 744 nt
Filed under: uncultured bacterium
Lineage: Bacteria
Description: bacterial SSU rRNA
Rfam family: Bacterial small subunit ribosomal RNA
Source: RNAcentral
AGAGUUUGAUCCUGGCUCAGAGCGAACGCUGGCGGCAGGCUUAACACAUGCAAGUCGAGCGGGCGUAGCAAUACGUCAGCGGCAGACGGGUGAGUAACGCGUGGGAACAUACCUUUUGGUUCGGAACAACCCAGGGAAACUUGGGCUAAUACCGGAUAAGCCCUUACGGGGAAAGAUUUAUCGCCGAAAGAUUGGCCCGCGUCUGAUUAGCUAGUUGGUGAGGUAAUGGCUCACCAAGGCGACGAUCAGUAGCUGGUCUGAGAGGAUGAUCAGCCACAUUGGGACUGAGACACGGCCCAAACUCCUACGGGAGGCAGCAGUGGGGAAUAUUGGACAAUGGGCGCAAGCCUGAUCCAGCCAUGCCGCGUGAGUGAUGAAGGCCCUAGGGUUGUAAAGCUCUUUUGUGCGGGAAGAUAAUGACGGUACCGCAAGAAUAAGCCCCGGCUAACUUCGUGCCAGCAGCCGCGGUAAUACGAAGGGGGCUAGCGUUGCUCGGAAUCACUGGGCGUAAAGGGUGCGUAGGCGGGUCUUUAAGUCAGGGGUGAAAUCCUGGAGCUCAACUCCAGAACUGCCUUUGAUACAGCACAUCUGGAGUCCGGAAGAGGUGGGUGGAAUUCCUAGUGUAGAGGUGAAAUUCGUAGAUAUUAGGAAGAACACCGGUGGCGAAGGCGGCCCACUGGUCCGGUACUGACGCUGAGGUGCGAAAGCGUGGGGAGCAAACAGGAUUAGAUACCCUAGUAGUCC